RNAcentral lists this ribosomal RNA (253 nucleotides) under uncultured bacterium. Its description in RNAcentral is "partial 16S ribosomal RNA". It matches the Rfam family "Bacterial small subunit ribosomal RNA", at positions 524 to 776 of the family's 1533-position model. The record is from RNAcentral.
GACAGAGGGUGCAAACGUUGCUCGGAAUUACUGGGCGUAAAGCGCGUGUAGGCGGGCUAGUAAGUCGGACGUGAAAUCCCUGGGCUCAACCCAGGAACUGCAUCCGAAACUAUUAGCCUUGAGUGGUGGAGAGGGAAGCAGAAUUCCUGGUGUAGAGGUGAAAUUCGUAGAUAUCAGGAGGAACACCGGUGGCGAAGGCGGCUUCCUGGACACUAACUGACGCUGAGACGCGAAAGCGUGGGGAGCAAACAAG